GUGAAAUUCAGAAUAGCAUUGUUGCAACUGGAGACUUACAGAAGGACCACGGAAGGUCUUCUUCACAAACCACAGUACAGAAAGGAAUAAUUAAAAAUCAACCAACCAAACUACAUACACGCUUCAGAGUAUCACCACAGGGACACUCUCAGCUUAAUUUUAAACAGUUUCCAAGGAAAGGCAUAUCUGCUCCUGAUCAGUCUGGUGACAAAUGAUAAACCUUGUUAAAAAG
Vidua chalybeata is the source of this 232-nucleotide long non-coding RNA. RefSeq lists it as uncharacterized. The transcript has 3 exons. NCBI's taxonomy places the organism in Eukaryota, Metazoa, Chordata, Aves, Passeriformes, Viduidae. The record is from RefSeq and is a predicted model, not a curated record.